RNAcentral lists this ribosomal RNA (1343 nucleotides) under uncultured bacterium. RNAcentral's name for it is "16S ribosomal RNA". It matches the Rfam family "Bacterial small subunit ribosomal RNA", at positions 28 to 1378 of the family's 1533-position model. The record is from RNAcentral.
GACGAACGCUGGCGGCGUGCUUAACACAUGCAAGUCGAACGGAAAGGCCCUGCUUUUGUGGGGUGCUCGAGUGGCGAACGGGUGAGUAACACGUGAGUAACCUGCCCUUGACUUUGGGAUAACUUCAGGAAACUGGGGCUAAUACCGGAUAGGAGCUCCUGCUGCAUGGUGGGGGUUGGAAAGUUUCGGCGGUUGGGGAUGGACUCGCGGCUUAUCAGCUUGUUGGUGGGGUAGUGGCUUACCAAGGCUUUGACGGGUAGCCGGCCUGAGAGGGUGACCGGCCACAUUGGGACUGAGAUACGGCCCAGACUCCUACGGGAGGCAGCAGUGGGGAAUAUUGCACAAUGGGCGGAAGCCUGAUGCAGCAACGCCGCGUGCGGGAUGACGGCCUUCGGGUUGUAAACCGCUUUCGCCUGUGACGAAGCGUGAGUGACGGUAAUGGGUAAAGAAGCACCGGCUAACUACGUGCCAGCAGCCGCGGUGAUACGUAGGGUGCGAGCGUUGUCCGGAUUUAUUGGGCGUAAAGGGCUCGUAGGUGGUUGAUCGCGUCGGAAGUGUAAUCUUGGGGCUUAACCCUGAGCGUGCUUUCGAUACGGGUUGACUUGAGGAAGGUAGGGGAGAAUGGAAUUCCUGGUGGAGCGGUGGAAUGCGCAGAUAUCAGGAGGAACACCAGUGGCGAAGGCGGUUCUCUGGGCCUUUCCUGACGCUGAGGAGCGAAAGCGUGGGGAGCGAACAGGCUUAGAUACCCUGGUAGUCCACGCUGUAAACGGUGGGUACUAGGUGUGGGGUCCAUUCCACGGGUUCCGUGCCGUAGCUAACGCUUUAAGUACCCCGCCUGGGGAGUACGGCCGCAAGGCUAAAACUCAAAGGAAUUGACGGGGCCCCGCACAAGCGGCGGAGCAUGCGGAUUAAUUCGAUGCAACGCGUAGAACCUUACCUGGGUUUGACAUGGAUCGGGAGUGCUCAGAGAUGGGUGUGCCUCCUUUGGGGUCGGUUCACAGGUGGUGCAUGCCUGUCGUCAGCUCGUGUCGUGAGAUGUUGGGUUAAGUCCCGCAACGAGCGCAACCCUUGUUCACUGUUGCCAGCACGUUAUGGUGGGGACUCAGUGGAGACCGCCGGGGUCAACUCGGAGGAAGGUGGGGAUGACGUCAAGUCAUCAUGCCCCUUAUGUCCAGGGCUUCACGCAUGCUACAAUGGCUGGUACAGAGAGUGGCGAGCCUGUGAGGGUGAGCGAAUCUCGGAAAGCCGGUCUCAGUUCGGAUUGGGGUCUGCAACUCGACCUCAUGAAGUCGGAGUCGCUAGUAAUCGCAGAUCAGCAACGCUGCGGUGAAUACGUUCCCGGG